GGAUUGUGGCUCAGAGGUAGAGCACUUGCCUAGCAUGCAUGAGGUACUGGAUUCGAUCCUCAGCACCA
Molecule: transfer RNA, 68 nt
Filed under: Marmota monax (woodchuck)
Lineage: Eukaryota; Metazoa; Chordata; Mammalia; Rodentia; Sciuridae
Description: tRNA.Ala
Rfam family: tRNA (bases 5-65)
About the family: Transfer RNA (tRNA) molecules are approximately 80 nucleotides in length.
Source: RNAcentral